This 1449-nucleotide long non-coding RNA is filed under the name Apteryx rowi (Okarito brown kiwi). RNAcentral describes it as "lncRNA (ENSARWG00000012442.1)". Lineage: Eukaryota; Metazoa; Chordata; Aves; Apterygiformes; Apterygidae. The record is from RNAcentral.
CAGAAAUCGCAGCAGCUUUCCAUUUCUUCAGCUUCUGACGGCCAAGUCCUUGCAAUCCCAGCGAGGAAUCGUUUUGAGAAAGCACAUGCUGCAAUUAAGGCACUGCCCAAAAGCACACUCGGCCAGCAAAGCCAGUAUUUAUCAAUACAAUUUUAAGUGUCUUGCAGACCAUUUGGCCUCUCCUGCUGAUGAGGAAAGCCACUGGACACAGUAAAUCUUUGGUGUCUUACCUGCACUGUCUGAACCGUAACAGCUUACAGGAGCCCUGCUUUCACGUUUGCUCUGAGGUCCCAGGUUGAAAGAGACGGUGUUAUCCAUUCUCCCGAUCUCCUCCUGGGAGGGACUGAGGCGAGGGCUAGGACCCCCUUGGCAUGCCAGGAGGAGCUCUGGCCUCCCCAUGAUUUCUGCUCCAGCUCAAGGCUGCCUGCGGGACAUGCCCAGUGGUUGCCAGAGCUGCUGUUGGUGGUGUUACAAGAUGGGGGUUGAAGGAGAUCGCCGUCACGCAGGAGGCAAUUCUCCCUGCUGUAGAGACGCCUGCCCGGGAGCUGCGGUGCUCUACAUCACGGUGGGAACAGGCAAGGCUGUGAUCUCAUGGUGUCUUUGGGAGGUAAAGCAUGGGUGAACUUCUUUCUGUCAGACAUCCACUCCUGUAUGGUCUCUGCUGGACAUGUUCUCCUUUCCUUUCCGUGUUGAACUGUCACUGAAUGUGGUCUGGUGCUGUUUAAAGCUUGUGAUUUUAUCAACAGCAGCUGCAUCUCAGUGCAGGAUGAACUGGGCCCUGUCUGUACAUACAUAUAUCCUGUGAUCAGCUUACAAAGACUGAAGACUGUUGGGGGAACAAAAAAAAAAAAAAUCCUGUAAAAAUGCCAACUAUUAUCAUCAAGCUUGUGUGUGUCAUAAUCCUAACAUAGCCCAAGCACCAGGGAGUAUCAUAGGCCCAUAAAUUUGUUACCAUGGGAAGGGUGGACAGUUUUUGGGUCCCAUUUCUGCAGAGUUUGGUGCUGCUGAGCAGCACUUACAUGAGUUUUCCCAUUGUUAGAGCGUACUGCUUCCCUAUGUCGAUGGCACUUGGGCAUUGUAGGGCUUGUUGGUUCAGGGCUGUGAGGAAUUAGCAGGACAGGUUAAACGUAUAAAACUCACAGUACUGGGAUCUGAGUUAUCCUUACUGUGGGGCAGCAAUCACUUUUGCUUUUUACAUGUCAGACAUUUUUGCCAAAGGAGAUAAAUGUUUUGAAGAUAUAAAUAUAUUUAAGAGCUUUAUUUUUGCCAGUGUCACCUUAAUUCAUGGCAGACUUUGAGGAGGUGGGUUUGGGGAGCAUCAGUCCCCGUGUGCAGCAGGAAGUGGGGAGCAGAGCAGCAAGAGACUGCAACCUUUCAACUUUGCCACAGUGCAUACACUCAUGCAAAUGCGUUCACUUCUGCCGCAGAAUAAAACCAGAUAAAUCUCCA